UACGUAGGGUGCAAGCGUUGUCCGGAAUUAUUGGGCGUAAAGAGCUCGUAGGCGGUCUGUCGCGUCGGCUGUGAAAACUCGGGGCUCAACUCCGAGCUUGCAGUCGAUACGGGCAGGCUAGAGUUCGGCGGGGGAGACUGGAAUUCCUGGUGUAGCGGUGAAAUGCGCAGAUAUCAGGAGGAACACCGGUGGCGAAGGCGGGUCUCUGGGCCGAUACUGACGCUGAGGAGCGAAAGCGUGGGGGAGCGAACAGG
This 254-nucleotide ribosomal RNA is filed under the name uncultured bacterium. Its description in RNAcentral is "partial 16S ribosomal RNA". It matches the Rfam family "Bacterial small subunit ribosomal RNA", at positions 524 to 776 of the family's 1533-position model. The record is from RNAcentral.